GUGGGUGUAGCUCAGAUGGUAGAGCAACAGGUUGUGGCCCUGUCGGUCGCGGGUUCAAGUCCCGUCACUCACCCGA
This 76-nucleotide transfer RNA is filed under the name Fidelibacterota bacterium. Its description in RNAcentral is "tRNA-His". It matches the Rfam family "tRNA". From Rfam's summary of the family: Transfer RNA (tRNA) molecules are approximately 80 nucleotides in length. Their secondary structure includes four short double-helical elements and three loops (D, anti-codon, and T loops). Lineage: Bacteria; Pseudomonadati; Fidelibacterota. The record is from RNAcentral.